CCAGCUCACAGCAAAGCAGACACCUGAAGCAGACGCUGCUCCCCAAAAGCAGCGCACCAAAAGAUGCUGGGGCAGGCACCAUGGGCAAGGCUGUCUCCUUCUGGUCCUGCCGUCCUGCUGCUGGCACUCUGUACUGGAGUGACCACCCAGGACAUCUGCAGCUCUCCAGGAUUUCGGGAGCAUGGAGGUAACAGCCAGGCUCCAGUCCUGUACCUCAACGCUUCCAGUGCCCAGGAGGGGGAAAUAGUGUUGCUUCGAUGUACCAUUGAUGAGCAGUUUCCUGCUACGCGAGUUGUCUUCUGCAAGAAUGGGCUGGAGGAGUUCAGCCUGAAAGCCCAGCAGGGCAGGCUCAUCUACACUAUGGACCUGAACAUCACCUCCAGAAGUGCUGGGACGUACAAGUGUGGGUACCAGCAAAAGAACAAGGAAAACUGGGUGAGGAACUCUGCUCUCAGUGCUCCCCAGACCUUGUCUGUGGCAGGUGCAGGUGCUGGUGAGACCACCACUGAUAUCCAGAGCUCCACAGCUCCACAUGCCCGGAUUCUGCACACCCUCCCCACAGCCAC
Molecule: long non-coding RNA, 566 nt
Filed under: Anas platyrhynchos (mallard)
Lineage: Eukaryota; Metazoa; Chordata; Aves; Anseriformes; Anatidae
Description: lncRNA (ENSAPLG00020010318.1)
Source: RNAcentral